RNAcentral lists this long non-coding RNA (414 nucleotides) under Erythranthe guttata (spotted monkey flower). RNAcentral describes it as "long non-coding RNA (EGUT_LNC000789)". The record is from RNAcentral. Lineage: Eukaryota; Viridiplantae; Streptophyta; Magnoliopsida; Lamiales; Phrymaceae.
UCAACUGCUUUUGGCUGAGAAUCGUGUACCUGCUUCUGAAUCGACGCCAUAGAAGGAGCUUCACCGAUCUGGGUAACCUUCAAUUUUCCGUCGGUGUUCUUGACGAAGCACGCAGCUUCACCGAUCUGGGUAACCUUCAAUUUUCCGUCGGUGUUCUUGACGAAGCACGCAGCUUCACCGAUCUGGGUAACCUUCAAUUUUCCGUCGGUGUUCUUGACGAAGCACGCAGCUUUUUCUGUCGGAGAUUUCAGAUCGGACCCGUUCUUGACGAAGCACACAUCUUUUUCUGUCGUUAAUUGCAAAUCUGACCCUUCUUCUUCGAUUUGAGGUUGUUUGCUCUGGGUCAUCUGCGUUGACUUGCUAGCUGUAGAUUUAUGCUUAUUUCUGUGAUUUCCCAUGGAUUACAGCAAGAAA